AAGUCGUAACAAGGUCUCCGUAGGUGAACCUGCGGAGGGAUCAUUAACUUGUAUGUUGAUGUGUGACAGUUCGCUGUCAUGCAUCAGCAAUCAAACCAAAACAAACAAACCGUGAAUUCGAGUAUUCAGUUACUCAACGCCCCCGAACGUCGAAACAACGAAGUUUACUACUUCGUCUAGUAGCUUUCGGACCAUUUUUUUAAUUCAUAACCUAUUUCACCCGCUCGUAUAUUCAUUGACUGAAAAACAAAAGGGCGUUUGUCGCGUAACAGUGAUCAAACCACCUUGAAACCUUCGAAUUAUUCGAAAUCUAAGCACAACUCUUAGCAACGGAUAUCUUGGUUCUC
RNAcentral lists this unclassified non-coding RNA (347 nucleotides) under fungal sp. RNAcentral's name for it is "partial internal transcribed spacer region". The stretch from base 1 to 46 matches the Rfam family "Eukaryotic small subunit ribosomal RNA", at positions 1786 to 1831 of the family's 1831-position model. The record is from RNAcentral. Lineage: Eukaryota; Fungi.